Molecule: non-coding RNA, 73 nt
Organism: Strongylocentrotus purpuratus (purple sea urchin)
Lineage: Eukaryota; Metazoa; Echinodermata; Echinoidea; Camarodonta; Strongylocentrotidae
Source: Rfam
AGUGUGAUGGCUCAGUCAGUAGAGCGACCGCCUCACAACCGGGAGGUCGUGGGUUCGAACCCCGGCCGCGUCA